RNAcentral lists this ribosomal RNA (156 nucleotides) under Saponaria calabrica. Its description in RNAcentral is "5.8S ribosomal RNA". It matches the Rfam family "5.8S ribosomal RNA". Rfam says of the family: 5.8S ribosomal RNA (5.8S rRNA) is a component of the large subunit of the eukaryotic ribosome. It is transcribed by RNA polymerase I as part of the 45S precursor that also contains 18S and 28S rRNA. The record is from RNAcentral. Lineage: Eukaryota; Viridiplantae; Streptophyta; Magnoliopsida; Caryophyllales; Caryophyllaceae.
AAACGACUCUCGGCAACGGAUAUCUCGGCUCUCGCAUCGAUGAAGAACGUAGCGAAAUGCGAUACUUGGUGUGAAUUGCAGAAUCCCGUGAACCAUCGAGUUUUUGAACGCAAGUUGCGCCCGAAGCUUUUAGCUGAGGGCACGUCUGCCUGGGCG